This 460-nucleotide ribosomal RNA is filed under the name uncultured bacterium. RNAcentral describes it as "partial 16S ribosomal RNA". It matches the Rfam family "Bacterial small subunit ribosomal RNA", at positions 338 to 795 of the family's 1533-position model. The record is from RNAcentral.
CCUACGGGUGGCUGCAGUGAGGAAUAUUGGUCAAUGGACGAGAGUCUGAACCAGCCAAGUAGCGUGAAGGAUGACUGCCCUCUGGGUUGUAAACUUCUUUUAUAUGGGAAUAAAAUGUUCCACGUGUGGGUUUUUGUAUGUACUAUAUGAAUAAGGAUCGGCUAACUCCGUGCCAGCAGCCGCGGUAAUACGGAGGAUCCGAGCGUUAUCCGGAUUUCUUGGGUUUAAAGGGCGCGUAGGCGGGUUGUUAAGUCAGUUGUGAAAGUUUGCGGCUCAACCAUAGAAUUGCAGUUGAAGCUGGCAGUCUUGAGUACGGUAGAGGUGGGCGGAAUUCGUGGUGUAGCGGUAAAAUGCUUAGAUAUCACGAAGAACUCCGAUUGCGAAGGCAGCUCGCUGGACUGCAACUGACACUGAGGCUCGAAAGUGUGGGUAUCAAACAGGAUUAGAUACCCGAGUAGUC